UUGGAUGAGUACAUGCCCUAAAAUGGAGGGUGUCUAUUUUUUGCUUCAUGUGUGAUUAGGGACGAAUGUGCUUUGAAGGUGAGGCUAACAAUACUGCUAUCCACACCCACGACAUCGAAGUGGUACAAGAAUAUAUGGCUACAUGUGAUGUUGUGAGGAAAACAUUGGACAAGUUGGAAGCUGAAACCUAGUGGCUUUUCCCAAACUACUACUAUUUUAAAGUGAAAGCGUAUGCAUGAUAUGAACGAGCCAGAUCUGACAAAGAUGCCUCAAAGGAUUGCAAAGAUACAUGUGGAAGACACGAUAUGCUAUUUGCCUUCAUCACUCAUUUUAGUUUGUUUGCAUUUUGAGUGCAU
Molecule: long non-coding RNA, 356 nt
Filed under: Setaria viridis
Lineage: Eukaryota; Viridiplantae; Streptophyta; Magnoliopsida; Poales; Poaceae
Description: long non-coding RNA (SVIR_LNC000822)
Source: RNAcentral